Molecule: long non-coding RNA, 758 nt
Organism: Sander lucioperca (pikeperch)
Lineage: Eukaryota; Metazoa; Chordata; Actinopteri; Perciformes; Percidae
Exons: 3
Source: RefSeq, a predicted model, not a curated record
AGCUGACCAGAACCGGGCCUGAAUGGAACACCACUCAGUUCUAAAUUCCUAAAUGUAAACUACAAAACCAUCUACCCUAAAAUUAAGGAUAUUAAAAGUGUAUACAAAUAUUUUUCUUUUGGAUGCAAUUAUAAUUUGGUGAAACACAACUCAACAAUACCAUGCAAUACAAUGAUACCAUGCCCAUACUAAAUCAAAGAGGUGAGGGAGGAAUACACAUUUCCUGACUUUUUUGGUCCCCAAUUUACCUAUGCCUGUCACGAGGAUUCAGCUGCUGACCUCAAACACACUUUUCCUGACUUUUUCGGUCCCCACCUCGACCUUGCCCAUCCCCCACCCACACGAGAGCUGCUGACAGUGAGUGGGCGGAGCAUGUGCAGGUGCAGUUAGAAGCAAGCAGGAGCACAAGCUGGCAGCAGCACAGACAGAAGGUGCUCCUACAGACACUAAUGGACGAGGAACACAUGGAAACUAACGUUGGGUAAAGUGCAGGAUACACCAGGCUGAAGGAACGCUUACAACGCCUGAGGGAGCUUCAUAAUACAUCUUUAUCCGGGAACAUGGAAUCCGUAAAACACCAAAGCCAGGAACCUCAAGAUCCAACAGACGACAGCGGCCCUCUGAUGAGCCUGGCAGUGUUGAACCUGCUCCCACAGGUAACCCACAGACUGAGGCCAUGACACCUGAUACCUAGCGCCUUGUUUGGUCUUUACCUUUGUCACACAGAACUGCUAAAGAGUAGGAGCUAGAAGUGAAAA